This 27-nucleotide small RNA is filed under the name Bombyx mori (domestic silkworm). Its description in RNAcentral is "ovarian small RNA-4275". Lineage: Eukaryota; Metazoa; Arthropoda; Insecta; Lepidoptera; Bombycidae. The record is from RNAcentral.
AAGCAACCAUGCCCAGUGAGAACCUGC